RNAcentral lists this transfer RNA (77 nucleotides) under Chlamydiota bacterium. RNAcentral's name for it is "Chlamydiae bacterium tRNA-His". It matches the Rfam family "tRNA". From Rfam's summary of the family: Transfer RNA (tRNA) molecules are approximately 80 nucleotides in length. Their secondary structure includes four short double-helical elements and three loops (D, anti-codon, and T loops). RNAcentral also lists the same sequence under 1 other name. Lineage: Bacteria; Pseudomonadati; Chlamydiota. The record is from RNAcentral.
GCGACCGUAGCUCAGUUGGUUAGAGCGCUGGAUUGUGAUUCCAGAGGUCGCGGGUUCAAGACCCGUCGGUCGCCCCA